This 788-nucleotide long non-coding RNA is filed under the name Ananas comosus (pineapple). Its description in RNAcentral is "long non-coding RNA (ACOM_LNC036003)". Lineage: Eukaryota; Viridiplantae; Streptophyta; Magnoliopsida; Poales; Bromeliaceae. The record is from RNAcentral.
AAAUAAGAAUUAAACAAAUAAAUAAAUAAAUCACCGGAUAUUUAGACUAUGCAAUAGGCGAUGUGUCUUUAAGAGACUUAACCCAACUUAGUAUAAAUAGUUUUCAUCAUAAGGAAUCGGAGUGAACCAGGUUUUGAACUCCGUUCCCUUGAGCCCGACUCCAACUACCACGCACACAAUACAGAAUUCUCCGUCGUGAAUCUGUGCAUUAAUGGUCGUCACAGUAUCUUGAUUUUUCAUAAGAGUUUCUAUGGAUAGCCCACAUCUCAUAGCCGCGACCACAUACGGAUACUCUUAUAUAGGUGGUUUUCUCCAGAGAUGUAUGUAGAGUCACAUCUCGCAGAAAUUACCGUCUCGGAUCCGAUUAAGAGCUAUCAGCUCAACCUAAUCCACUACACUGAGCACUAUUCACCGUAGGAAUGGAAUUGGAGCUAAAACUCCUCUAUAUAAACUGUAAAAAGUGCUCUUUGGCCAAUCUAGCAGCUUGUUUUCACCACAUUGAACUUUCUUCAAGAGAUCUCCUAUCACAAAAGUUGGGUUCCCACUGCAGGAAGGCCCUUUACGGGCAAAAUCUCAUCUCCCUCGAUGACACCAGAACUUUAGUUCUAUUUACGCUUUCCGUCAAGUAAUCUGCAAGAUUCUGAUCAGAUCUGAUAAAACUCAAAUAAGUAACAUUAUGAAAAAAUAACCAUCUAAUAAAUUUAUAUCUCAAUAUAAUUUAUCUGCCAAUUUUAGAAUUUACCAAAUUAUUUUUCAAGAUGAACAUUAAGAUUAAAAGACAUAAAAAU